UGUAAGCGUAUACCAAAGUUGUUGCAGUUAAAACGCUCGUAGUCGGAAUUUGGCAGUUCCGGAUGUGUGCACGUCGUGUGCGCACUUCGCGGGGAUUGCUUUUGUGGUCUUGCGUAGGAUGAGGCACGUUUAUUAGUGAACGUCCUCACGCAACCACUUUUUACUGUGAGAAAAUCAGAGUGCUCAAAGCAGGCAUUUGCCGUGAAUGUAUUAGCAUGGAAUAAUAGAAUAGGACUUGGUUCUAUUUUGUUGGUUUGUUGGGACUGAGUAAUGAUUAAGAGGGACAGUUGGGGGCAUUUGUAUUUCGGUGCUAGAGGUGAAAUUCUUAGAUUACCGAAAGACAAACUGCUGCGAAAGCGUCUGCCAAGGAUGUUUUCAUUGAC
RNAcentral lists this ribosomal RNA (383 nucleotides) under uncultured eukaryote. RNAcentral's name for it is "partial 18S ribosomal RNA". It matches the Rfam family "Eukaryotic small subunit ribosomal RNA", at positions 592 to 977 of the family's 1831-position model. The record is from RNAcentral.